This is a long non-coding RNA of Micropterus dolomieu (smallmouth bass), 1572 nucleotides long. RefSeq lists it as uncharacterized. The transcript has 3 exons. The record is from RefSeq and is a predicted model, not a curated record. Lineage: Eukaryota; Metazoa; Chordata; Actinopteri; Centrarchiformes; Centrarchidae.
ACAUGAUAAAUGUCAUAUUGAGUUAAUACUAAAUGUAUUGAUCUAACAUGGUACGGUCCAUAUUCAUUAGUCACAAAAUAACAAAGGCUACCACCUUACAUACAGUGUAUACAAUGCUGCACCCUGCGCUAGUGUAUGUAUAGGCUACACUAGCGCAGUGAAUUCAAUUGGACCAAUCAGAAUCAAGGUUUUCAAAUCGACGCCCCAAUCACACUGCGUGAAAGUCCGCUGCACAAAGUACCUCACGGUCAGGUUACUGUGUCAAGUUAACGUAUUGUUAUUGAGAGGGAAGCUAAUUUUGGCCAGAAAAGCAUGUUGUUUCCCAGGUUUGCUUUGCUUUACUUUCCCGACUCGGACAUGGCAAAGGUGGACACCAUAGACAAAAUAAGAAAAGAGCACAGAAGAGAAGAAGAAUAUCAGGCCACACACAACUUCAAUGUGAAGAGAGGUGUGCCUGGCAAGUGCUGACUUAGCAGGAGAGUACAGAUGCAGAUACUGACGGCAAAAAUCCUCCUUCUUUGGGAAUACUCUUGCUGAUUCUGAUGUUACGGUCCUCAAGAAAAUGUUUGAAAGCACGACCUCGACGCUGAUAUUUGGAAAGGAGAUACUGGCCCAAUCCACGUUCACAGGGAAGUCUGGCAUUCAAACCUCAAAGGGCCAGCUGGACCCUCAAAAGCUGAAUGUGCUCGUAGCCAGUUGACAGUCCGCACCUGCACCUCAUCGGCCACCUCCUCUGCCUGCCACACCUGCCAGCAAUCAGCCUCAUCUCUGACAGUACUUCAACCCCGGUUCUCCAGUCAAUCGCUGCUUGAUCGUUGUUGCUCCAGACCUGGUGUCACCGUUUGCCUCAAGCCUUUUUUCCUUCAUCUCUGUUUCCCUACUCUUGGUUUGUCUCUGUGUCUAACCCUGUCUCUGUCUGUCUGUCUGCCUUCCCCCAGGUUCACUCACCCUCGUCCUCUGUCAAGUCAGCUGGGCUUGCCACCCUGCCCUUUUUCACCUGGGUGUGAUUUUUGCAAGAUGGAGGAAUGAUAUUAUGUUUUAUAUAUAUUAAGGAUUUCAAAUAAAUAACAAAACAAGCGUAAACAUUAUCAAAAACAUGUAGUAAAUAAAAAAAGUCUAUAUUGUUUUAAUAAUGCAUACAUUCAAUUAACCUAAUCUGCAUGUCUUUGCAGUGUGAGAUGAAACUGGAGCACCCGGAGUAAACCCACGCAAACACGGAGAGAGAACCAGAACUGAACACCAGUCCUGGCUUACUGGUUUCCCACCCAUGAAAAUGCACACAUUUGUUAAUAUUUUAGAUGUGUGGAGUCUGAUUCCCCUUCACAAAAACUCACCUCUCUAUAUCUACUUAUCCUCUGCUCUGCACCCACAUGUUGAUCUUCUCCUUUAUUUCAGUCUUCAGCCUGCCAGCUUCCCAUGGACCCUGAAGAAGUACAGACACGAGUAGUCAGGAUGGCCCAAGUUGCUCUUGACUUGACUUGCUUCACAAAGUUGAAGACACCUUUUUUCGGCGAUUGGGUGGGACAGGGCGAUGACUAAAUGUCCACACCCACUUUCAAAGGCCCAGCAGCU